CGCCUUAGCUAUACAUCCAUGUGUGUGCGUGCAUAUGUGUGUGUCUCUGUGUGUAUGUGUGUGUGUGCAGUGCUAAGUAUAAAUGGAAGAGUGAACGGAGGAGUACCAUAGUCUCUUUCGCAACAGCCAUGGAUGGAGUCAGCUUAACACCUUUCAGGGCAGCGGUCCUCCUUCUGCUUGUCCUUGCCGGGCAACUGGAGGCCUUCCCGGACCACGGCGUGGAGCAUGGGCACGGCAUGGAGCCAGGCAUGGGCGAAGCUAGUCAUGGGCACGCAGGUUAUGACUACAGUCCUCCCCCCAUGCCUGAGAAACCUAUGGGCUACAGCUAUGAGCCUCCUUCUGUACCCUUCCCUCCUCCCACCCUGUACGAGGCCCCUGCUGCCACGGGCGAGACUCAUGCUCCCAUAGCUGAGACACAUACUCCUGUGGUUGAUCCUCAUGCUGCCGUCGCUGAUCCUCAUGUUGCCGUCGCUGAUCCUCAUGCUGCCGUCCCUGAUCCUCAUGCUGCCGUCGCUGAUCCUCAUGCUGCCGUCGCUGAUCCUCAUGCUGCCGUCCCUGAUCCUCAUGCUGCCGUCGCUGAUCCUCAUGCUGCCGUCGCUGAUCCUCAUGUUGCCGUCGCUGAUCCUCAUGCUGCCGUCCCUGAUCCUCAUGCUGCCGUCGCUGAUCCUCAUGCUGCCAUGGGUGAGACUCAUGCUGCCAUGGGUGAGACUCAUGCUGCCAUGGGUGAGACUCAUGCUGCCAUGGGUGAGCCAGUGUUAGAGCCAGUUUUUGAUCUCCGCUCGAACCUUGGCCACGCGUAGAAAGGACAUGAAGAGUGUGUGGCAGCAUGACAUCGUCAGCCAACGUAACGACAUGCAUUGUUUUGAAGCAGACAUUCUGCUUGAAUGACCGUGACACCCUCCCACUUCUCUUUGAGGCCAGCGAUGUAUUCUGCACACACACACACACACACACACACACACACACACACACACUAUUAGAGAACAUUUUGUCCAUGUCCAAACAAACAAACAAAAAAAUACAUUCUAAGUACAGAUGCAAAUCUAUUUCAUGUUUCCUUGGCAGGCUUUAGGGGUGAGGAACAGCUGUUAUCUUACGUACAACCUCACUGUGACAGUGGAUUAGUUUUUUAUUUUAUUUCUUAAUCUAAAAUUAGUUCUCUGGUGGACAAUAUAUCUUUAAGACAUGAAAUGAUUUAGGAAAAGAGAGAAACAACAAGACGUUGACGUAUGAAGAGAAACAGGCCGUGAGAGGCGGUACUGCGAGAAAUACCUCCUCACAGAAAUAAGUCGUUCUGCUGUACACUACGCAUGCGCCCUGGGGACUGCACAGCAGGAAAACAUUAAUUUGCCUGGUUUUGUUCUAGUUUGUCCACUUGUGAUCUUUGUGAUGGUUGAUAUUGCCCGCAAGACAACAACACAGCAGACCAACCAACCAAACAAGCAACAACUGAGUGAACGUCAACGUGGGGGUAAUUCUUUCUAAAAUCUGCCCUUUCGUUUGUUAUAAAGUCUCUUGAUUAGGAAGUGUUACUCUGAUGUUUGUGUCAUAUACUGACGCCCAAACAGGACAAGUAAACGAUGGCGGUGAGUGAAAUAUAGGAAAAGUAAGCAAGUUGGGCCUCUCUCUACGAGCUAUUUUUCGGCUGCGAGCUAAUUCCUACAAUAGCAGUCCUAGGCGCGAGCCACCCCAAACACACGUUGACAACUUGACACAGGCCACGGACGGCAGGCGCGUGAGGAGGCCUCGGCCACGGCUCCCACGGCUCCCGGCACCACAUACACCAGGCCCGACUCCCGACGGAGACCUGGGCGAGCCGUUUGGAUUAACCGUCUUGGAGGAUCAUGUGGUGCGACAAGGGAGGCAAGGGUUGAGGUGAGGGU
Eriocheir sinensis (Chinese mitten crab) is the source of this 1883-nucleotide long non-coding RNA. RefSeq lists it as uncharacterized. The transcript is spliced from 3 exons. The record is from RefSeq and is a predicted model, not a curated record. NCBI's taxonomy places the organism in Eukaryota, Metazoa, Arthropoda, Malacostraca, Decapoda, Varunidae.